GUAGAUUAUACAUUUUACCUCAGUAAAAUCCUCUUUAACCUGCCCAUUUCUUGCCAAACCAUCUAUAUAGCAUAAUGUGAUCUCAAUCGAUGGCUCAACAGCUAGAAACUUGAAGACUUUUACCAAGAAGAUAUUGAGCUAUCUAGUUUCUCCAGCUUGAGAACAAGCGACCAUUGCAUUCCAAUACGUCGCAUGAGUCUUCACCAUCGUACUAGGCAUAUCCUCAAACACAUUUAAAGGUUUAGGUACAUUAUCAAACAUGGUGAGCUCUUGAGCGUGGGCUAAACUUAUUAUAAAGGCAUUCCAUACUCCCAAACCUGCCUUGUUGGAGUA
Molecule: long non-coding RNA, 333 nt
Filed under: Brassica napus (rape)
Lineage: Eukaryota; Viridiplantae; Streptophyta; Magnoliopsida; Brassicales; Brassicaceae
Description: long non-coding RNA (BNAP_LNC023596)
Source: RNAcentral